This 254-nucleotide ribosomal RNA is filed under the name uncultured bacterium. RNAcentral describes it as "partial 16S ribosomal RNA". It matches the Rfam family "Bacterial small subunit ribosomal RNA", at positions 524 to 776 of the family's 1533-position model. The record is from RNAcentral.
UACAGGGGGUGCAAACGUUGCUCGGAAUCACUGGGCGUAAAGCGCACGCAGGCGGAUUGAUAAGUCAGGGGUGAAAUCCCGGAGCUCAACUUCGGAAUUGCCUUUGAUACUGUCUGUCUUCGAGUUCGGGAGAGGUUGGCGGAAUUCCUAGUGUAGAGGUGAAAUGCGUAGAUAUCUGGAGGAACACCGGUGGCGAAGGCGGCGUUCUGGACUGCAACUGACGCUCAGGCACGAAAGCGUGGGGAGCAAACAGG